This 451-nucleotide ribosomal RNA is filed under the name uncultured bacterium. RNAcentral describes it as "partial 16S ribosomal RNA". It matches the Rfam family "Bacterial small subunit ribosomal RNA", at positions 28 to 523 of the family's 1533-position model. The record is from RNAcentral.
GAUGAACGCUGGCGGUGUGCCUAAUACAUGCAAGUCGAACGAGGUCUUCGGACCUAGUGGCGAACGGGUGAGUAACACGUUGGUACCUACCCUCUAGUGGGGAAUAACUGGCCGAAAGGUCGGCUAAUACCGCAUAAUACCGCAAGGUUAAAGCAGUAAUACGCUAGAGGAGGGGCCUGCGUCCCAUUAGCUUGUUGGUAGUGUAAUGGACUACCAAGGCAACGAUGGGUAGCUGGAUCGAGAGGUUGACCAGCCACACUGGGACUGAGAUACGGCCCAGACUCCUACGGGAGGCAGCAGUAAGGAAUCUUCCACAAUGGGCGAAAGCCUGAUGGAGCAACACCGCGUGCAGGAUGACGGCCUUCGGGUUGUAAACUGCUUUUAUAUGGGAAGAUUAUGACGGUACCAUAUGAAUAAGCACCGGCUAACUACGUGCCAGCAGCCGCCGUAA